GACGUUUACCUACAGAAGAAGCACCGGCUAACUCCGUGCCAGCAGCCGCGGUAAUACGGAGGGUGCGAGCGUUAAUCGGAAUUACUGGGCGUAAAGCGCAUGCAGGCGGCCUGUUAAGUCAGAUGUGAAAGCCCGGGGCUUAACCUCGGAAUUGCAUUUGAAACUGGCAGGCUAGAGUCUUGUAGAGGGGGUAGAAUUUCAGGUGUAGCGGUGAAAAUGCGUAGAGAUCUGAAGGAAUACCGGUGGCGAAGGCGGCCCCCUGGACAGAUACUGACACUCAGAUGCGAAAGCGUGGGGAGCAAACAGGAUUAGAUACCCUGGUAG
Molecule: ribosomal RNA, 324 nt
Filed under: uncultured bacterium
Lineage: Bacteria
Description: bacterial SSU rRNA
Rfam family: Bacterial small subunit ribosomal RNA
Source: RNAcentral